UGUUGUCUGUUCCUAGCUACGACACCAUAAGCAGCAAGUUUUCUUGAAGCAGCAAACAAGUUGCGAGAAAAUCAACAUUACUUUGGGACAUGUAAAAUAAAGAAGGAUGUUUGGGAAAAGAAGACUGGACCAUUUAAAAUUUCUAUUUCUUACGAAAUGGAUUUUGUUUCCAUCUACAGUUGAAAUGGCUGGCAUUUUUCCUGUCCGUCUCUCCAACUUUCAAGAAUUAUUUGUAUUCCAAUAAUUAUUUUUUCACAACUUCAUGCAGUUAUGCUACUUACUGUAUGUCAUUUUUCACAAUUUGUUUUACUUGGUUGAACAUGAAACAGAUAUCUUUUGGACAUGGUAGCUCGUGUGUAAUUUGACAAGUAGUAGCCGACGGUAACGACGAAAAUUUGUUUAUGGAACUGCAGUUAUCGACCGUCGAAUGAUGAUCUGCAACUCUAUGACUACAUUUAAUAGGGCACAACUCUAACCCUCAUCUCUAAAGGAAGAAUCAAAUGCUGAAAAGUGAAAACACUUCUCUUCUUGUCUCGAUUUUCAAGUUUAUUGUUCGUUUUAUCAAACUUGUAAUAUGUCAUUUUAAAAAUAGGGAGAAUUUGUGAAAUAACCAAGAAAAAAACCAAAAUUAGAUUUUUAGAGAGAGGGAUGAGAGAGAUAGGAAGGGAAAGGAAGAGAGAGAAGAAGAUUUUGGUUACUUAGCUAAUUUGAGUUUUUUGUUUGGUUAUGGGAUGCAAUUUCCCUUAAAAAUAUCUAGUGGAAGGAUCACACUUAGAAGCGUUUCAGUAUUUAAUUCAGCUAUAUACAACAUAGAUGGAUUUGUUUGAUAAACUUCAAGACAUGAUCUGGUAGAGACACUCGUAAGCUACACAGCGUACACUGAUGUGGUCGAUUAAGGAGAGAUUAAUAAUCUUCACAAAUGUUAAUAAGUGGACCGUAGCAAUUAUAGGCCCAUUUAUCCCAACUUAGGCCCAUUUAAAUUAAAAACGGUCAUCUACAUCGACGCUUCCUACUCAAGAGAACUCGUUCCCUUCUCCGCCGCAAACAUGAGGCUUCUUCGCCGCCGUUUCUUUAUCUUCACCGAUGGAAUUUCCGGAGCCAACCGGCGAAGAUACGCAACCAAGUAUGUCGCCAAGGUCACUUCAUCAUCUCCCUCCGGCCGUUCUCUGUCCGCCGAAGUUUCCCUUCCUAAUCCCCUCCCCUCCGACGUACGCGGCUACGCUCUCCCUCGGCGUCACCUCAUCUGCCGAGCAACCAAUCUCCUUCUCCGCCACGAAACCUCUUCAAUAGAGAAAGAGAAUGGAGAGUUGUGUGAAUUGUUGUGGAGAGACGUAUGAAUUGUUGCGAGAAAGAGAAUAAUAGAGAAAGAGAAUGGAGAAAAGUGUGAAAUGUUGUGAGAUAGAGAAAGUACAUUAAACACAGAAACAAAGAAACUUAAACAGUUAGACUUAUACUUAUAUAAAUUAGCUAGACAGAAAGUCAUUGAAUAGCUUCUGCUUGAGUGCUUCUUCAUAGUCAACAAGAGGUUCUUUUUCGCAAUCAGACUGUCAAGAAGAUUCAUCUUCGACAACCUUUCCUUCAUUGUCAAAUUUUGUUGUUUAAUAGACCACAUACUUUCAAACUCAUUCAGUGCAUUCUCCUCUGCCAAUGUCUUCUUACCGCGAGCCUUUGCGGCCUUAACACCCGGCGGACGCUUGUUCUCAGUAGCUUGAGAGCCUGACGAAGCAGCACCGUCAUCACACUUCAUCUUCUUAGAGAUCCCAUCGUUUUUAGCAGUAGCAAGGUCGCACCACUUCUGGUCGUCCCGGAGCUCCUUCCAAACGCGUUCCAGUGUGAAUUUCUUUUUAUGGUUAUUGUAGGAAAUUUGAUGAGCUAGUUUCAGAACGUCAUUAUCGUUUUGACCGCUACUCUUCUCUCUGCUUGCAUCUUCAAAGGCUCAACAAAACUUGCAAACAAGAUCAUUGAUCUUGUACCAUCGUUGCUUGCAAUGACUAGGCUCUCUCUGCUCGCAGCCAGCUACUGGAGGUCUUGCCGCAAAGUACGCUGCUACUCUUGUCCAGAAAGCGCCUGAUUUUUUCUCGUUGUUGACGACUGGAUUUUUGCUCGUGUUUAACCACGAGCUGAUGAGGAGAAUAUCAUUCGUUGGCGUCCACUUCCGUCGUUCUCUAUGCUCCAUAGCAGUCUCUCCACCAUCUUCGGUUCCUAGCGUGCUUUGAAACAAAGGUUGUGAUGAAGAUAGUGAGGCACUAUCUUCAUAGUUACCGAACGAAAUGCUUUGUUGACUAUGAAGUAGUUCAACAUAUUUUUAACUCUGGGUAGAUGGAUAAGAAUCCAUAUCCGAAGUAAGCUCAAGGAAGAGAGAAAAAAAGAAGAAAGUGGGAAGAGAAUCACACGGUUUGAACAAGGAAGAGAUAAAGAAAAGAAGUGAGGUGAGAAAGUAGGAAGAGAAGAGACACGAUUUAUGUAAGGAAGGGAAGGAUCAAUGCAUUGAUCACAACCACCCAUAACCGAGUAGACAUAUAUCUAAAAGCAUUCAUCACACAACCCCCUUCUACACAGAACACCAAAUCAAUUUAUUACCUAAACCUACCAUUAUCUCACACAAACCACUUAAACAUCUAUUUAAUACCUAACCUAACACAAAACUACAAUUCAAUUCUAUCCAGACAUGAGUAAAAAUCAACAACAAUCAUACCAUAUUUCACAAACCACCAACCAAUAUAUUUAUCAUGAUUAAUCCUAUUUAACAUAGCAAAGAAAAAGGUUUAAUCCAAUUCAAAAUUCAUUUCAAACAACCAUUAAAAUAAAAAACAAUCGCAUCAUAACUCACAAACCAACAACAAAUUUAAGCAAUGGUUUAUCUAAUUCAACAGAGCCAAGAGAAAGUUUAAUCCAAUUCAAAUGAUCAAAGAGAAAGGUUUUACCUUUAUGAACAAGAAGUGUGGAGUUUUGUCUGACAAAGAGAAAGGUUUAUCCUUGAUCGUGCCUCUUUCUCAAUCACUCGCAAGACACAAAAACAGAAAAAAAAUAUCAAAACAAAUCAGAGGACUGGACUUCUUAAGAUUCACGAUGAAAGAGCACAAUCAAAGACAUGCAUAAUUGAAAUAUUCAAACAUUAAAACAUAUGAACUCAUCUUUACCUUUCGAAUCACUGUUUUCCUUCGUUUCCGAGAGCCUCCACGAGAGAGAUCUCGCUGUUAUCCUUCGUCGAGAAGAGCAACCGAUAGAGGGGACGCCGUUUUACUUCGAGAGACGCCGAUUCGUUGAGAAGAGCCACCGACCGGGAGAAAUAUCGCUAUUUUCGUUGCCAAGGAGACGAGAGAAGGAAGAGAGAAAGAAGGAAAAGAGAGAAAAAGACGAAACCGUGAGACACCACCUCUCUUCUCUCCAAUGCUUUUGUUUUGACUGCUUAAUUAAGUGAAGGGUCUUACCUUAAUGACCGUUUUGUUCUUUUUUUUAAAUGAUAAAAUCAAAUGUAAGCUAAGAUAAACGUGCUCUUAAAAUUCUUAUUCUGAUAUAGUCGGCUCCGUGAACUAAUUCAUCUGAUGGGCCAACCCCAUAUAAACAUUUGGGCCUAUGAUAAGCAAUACGUAAGCAGCAAAACUCGCAGUCUCUCUCACCUUCUCAAUUCAUCUCUUCCCUUCCCUUCCGAUUUAGGGUUUCCACAGUCGCCAUGUAUCGCACGGCAGCUUCACGAGCCAGGGCUCUCAAGGUUUGUUACCUUAGCCUUUGAUCGUUUCACGAUUGAUGUUCUCUUGUAAGCGUCUGGAACCUUCGCGUAGUGAAUAGAUUCGUCCUGAUUCGGAUUAUUCUUAUUCCGAUUGAAUUACCCGCGACGAUGGGACUGUUAUUACUGCUUAGGCUUACGAGUGAUCGAGUCUUUGUUUCGCAGUUUCUGAAGUCAAAUCUAACUAGAAAUGGAUUUGCCUCUAUCGUUUCAAAUGGAUCGUAUUCUUGUUUUGUGAUAGGGAUCUCUUAGCCGGAGUUUGAGACCGGCGCGUUAUGCAAGUUCAAGUGCCGUUGCGACUAGUUCUUCUUCUUCUUCUCCAGGUUUCUUCAGCUGGUUGACUGGUGGAUCAUCUUCUUCGCUUAAUUCAUUGGACAUGCCACUACAGGGUGUGUCUCUUCCUCCACCACUUGCUGACCUUGUUGAGCCAAGCAAACUUAAGAUCACUACUCUCCCAAAUGGUCUCAAAAUCGCCUCCGAGAUGUCUCCCGUAAGUAAAUCUUAUGUUUACUUCUCUGAAGAUAGAAUCUUUUAAAAUGCGGUAAAUGAACUGAACGAAGUUAUUAUCUUGGUGUGUUAGAAUCCAGCAGCUUCCAUUGGUUUGUAUGUUGAUUGUGGUUCUAUCUACGAAGCUCCUUAUUUCCAUGGAGCAACGCAUUUGCUUGAGAGGAUGGCUUUCAAGAGCACGAGAAACAGGAGCCAUCUACGUCUCGUGAGGGAGAUUGAGGCUAUUGGAGGCAACACCUCCGCAUCUGCGUCUCGGGAGCAGAUGAGUUACACUAUUGAUGCUCUUAAGACCUAUGUCCCUGAAAUGGUUGAAGUUCUUAUUGACAGUGUGAGGAACCCUGCUUUCUUGGAUUGGGAAGUCAACGAAGAGGUGAUUCUCUUUUUUUCUCCUUUGUGGUUAUUUUAGUAACUCUUGUGAAAUUAUUUAUGUGACGUAUUGUCUUGUGGUUAUUUGGCAGCUACGUAAGAUGAAGCUAGAGAUAGCGGAACUUGCAAAGAACCCUAUGGGCCUUCUCAUGGAGGCCGUUCACUCUGCUGGUUAUUCCGGUGCAUUGGCGAAUCCUCUCUACGCACCUGAGUCUGCUUUGGACAGAUUGAAUGGGGAACUCUUGGAGGAGUUUAUGGCUGUAAGACCGCAUCAGCUUUUGAGAAUCUAUGUGAUUAAUGUCCUUAUUUGCUUACUCAUUUGAUAUGGGAAUUUCAGGAGAAUUUCACUGCUGCACGUAUGGUGCUGGCGGCAAGUGGAGUUGAACACGAGGAACUUUUAAAAGUUGUUGAGCCGUUGACUUCAGACCUUCCUAAUGUACCGCGCCAGGCGGAACCAAAAUCUCAGUAUACUGGUGGAGAUUUCCGCCAACAUACUGGUGGAGAGGUAAUCAUGACAGAUUUGCUUUCAUUGAACAAGUGUGUUUGAGAUGAAAGUGUAUUUAUGUCACAAUACUACGUGAGCUUAUUCUGUUCUGUCAUCUUCAGGCUACGCACUUUGCUCUCGCCUUUGAGGUUCCUGGCUGGAAUAACGAGAAAGAAGCAGUCAUCGCCACUGUUCUCCAGGUUUAACUUGAAUAUUUAAUGUUUGCUUGUGUCAAAAAUAUUUACUUGUUUUAAUCAAAUUCUAUUGACUGAAUAUAAUUUAAUUCGAAUUGCUAUUAGAUGCUUAUGGGAGGAGGUGGGUCGUUCUCUGCUGGAGGCCCUGGAAAAGGAAUGCACUCAUGGCUAUGUAAGUCAAUUCUUGUGUUUAUAUCGCUUUCUUGAGCUUUCUGUUUUCACGUUUGUUGAACUAGUUCAUUAGUUCUCAACCGAUCAGUAAUAGUGAUAAAAAUUCCUAUGUCUGUUUUUACAGAUCUCCGUAUUCUUAACGAAUACCAGCAAGUGCAGUCAUGCACUGCUUUCAGUAGCAUCUUUAACAACACCGGGUUGUUUGGAAUCUAUGGUUGCUCGGUUAGUUUAAGCAAUCCUGAUCUAUGCUCUUCCUUAUAAAUCAACUAUCCACUUAAUCUCAUUGAUUAUAGUUGUAAUUUGUGUGGGUAUUAAUACCUUCAACUUUAAGGAAUAUCGAUUUUGUGGGGGUAUUAGGCUAUGUCUUGUUUGUGUGACUUGACGACUUCUUUGCUUCAUAUGUGUUCUAGUACAUAUUUUGAUACGAUUUACAUCCAUGAGUGCAGAGUCCCGAGUUCGCUGCAAAAGCAAUUGAAUUAGCAGCUAAAGAAAUGAAAGAUGUUGCCGGAGGAAAAGGUUUGCAGUUUGUUUCUUCUGUUUUCUCCUAUUAUAAUCUUAACAAGUCGAAGCCGUUGUUUACAUCUGUUUAUUUGUUUGGACAGUUAAUCAGAAGCAUCUUGAUCGCGCCAAGGCAGCCACAAAAUCUGCAGUUCUGAUGAAUUUGGAAUCACGGGUAUUCUCACUACGAUCAAACCGUUUUGCUUGAAAAGCAUGUUUGUACGAUUCGAACCGAUUAGAUUUUACUAACGAGUUAAUGUAUGUCCUAUGCAGAUGAUUGCAGCAGAAGACAUUGGCAGGCAGAUUCUUACAUACGGAGAGAGGUACACGCAAAUGUCUUUUAGAAAAGAAAAAAAAUUAAAAACAGCGUAGUAUUCUUCUUGCGCAUACCCGUGUGUUUAUAAAUGAAUAAAUAUUGCAGGAAACCAGUUGAGCAAUUCCUGAAGACAGUUGAUGGACUAACCUUGAAGGACAUUACAGAUUUCACCAGCAAGAUUAUCUCAAAGCCUUUGACAAUGGGUUCCUUCGGAGAUGGUAAACAAGUUUUCACUCUUUUCUUACUAGUUUUAUAUACGUUUUUAAUGUCAAAAAAGUCAAGAUUUUGUGUUCUUUCUUUUGGCAGUGUUGUCUGUUCCUAGCUACGACACCAUAAGCAGCAAGUUUUCUUGAAGCAGCAAACAAGUUGCGAGAAAAUCAACAUUACUUUGGGACAUGUAAAAUAAAGAAGGAUGUUUGGGAAAAGAAGACUGGACCAUUUAAAAUUUCUAUUUCUUACGAAAUGGAUUUUGUUUCCAUCUACAGUUGAAAUGGCUGGCAUUUUUCCUGUCCGUCUCUCCAACUUUCAAGAAUUAUUUGUAUUCCAAUA
This 6812-nucleotide long non-coding RNA is filed under the name Brassica napus (rape). RNAcentral describes it as "long non-coding RNA (BNAP_LNC004287)". Lineage: Eukaryota; Viridiplantae; Streptophyta; Magnoliopsida; Brassicales; Brassicaceae. The record is from RNAcentral.